AGUGAACGCUGGCGGUAGGCCUAACACAUGCAAGUCGAACGGCAGCACAGUAAGAGCUUGCUCUUACGGGUGGCGAGUGGCGGACGGGUGAGGUAUACAUCGGAAUCUACUUUUUCGUGGGGGAUAACGUAGGGAAACUUACGCUAAUACCGCAUACGACCUACGGGUGAAAGCAGGGGAUCUUCGGACCUUGCGCGAUUGAAUGAGCCGAUGUCGGAUUAGCUAGUUGGCGGGGUAAGGGCCCACCAAGGCGACGAUCCGUAGCUGGUCUGAGAGGAUGAUCAGCCACACUGGAACUGAGACACGGUCCAGACUCCUACGGGAGGCAGCAGUGGGGAAUAUUGGACAAUGGGCGCAAGCCUGAUCCAGCCAUACCGCGUGGGUGAAGAAGGCCUUCGGGUUGUAAAGCCCUUUUGUUGGGAAAGAAAAGCAGCAGGUUAAUACCCCGCUGUUCUGACGGUACCCAAAGAAUAAGCACCGGCUAACUUCGUG
RNAcentral lists this ribosomal RNA (492 nucleotides) under uncultured bacterium. RNAcentral describes it as "partial 16S ribosomal RNA". It matches the Rfam family "Bacterial small subunit ribosomal RNA", at positions 29 to 507 of the family's 1533-position model. The record is from RNAcentral.